UUUUUUUAUGGGGCGAUGAAGCAGAAUUGAAGUUUGUCAAACCUUCUCUUUUUUCUCAAGAUGGCCGAUGAAACAGUCCGAACACUUUCUGAUUUAUCAAUCUUGUUUUCAGAACUAGAUAUACCGGAGAAAUUUUGUGAAAUAUUCCUCGAUAUUAAAACUUUGAUAUCAUUAUCGGCAGUUAAAAUCAUCGAUAAAUUUUCUAAUGGUGGUAUUGCUCCUGAAAUUUACGAAACAUAUUUCAGUGAAUUAUAUAAAUGGAAGUCCCAUGAUAUUGUUCCAGUAAUAUUGAAGGACCUAGAUUUACCGUUAGAAUUUUUCAACUUGUGGAAAGAUAAGGAUUUCUUUACAGAUCGAAGACGGUAGCUUAUCUUUUUUCUGUUUUGCAGACUUUCACCUUGGCAUUCAGGAUUUGCAAAGCAUCUCGCCGGAUGAGUUGAAUGUCAUUUUGGAUCGUUCUCAAAUUAACUGGGAUCAAGAAGAAAUUAAUAGAAUACUUGUAAGCUGGCGAGGUGUAAAGGGUAUCGAGAUUCUCGACUUCGAAGAAAUUGAUGCAAUCGAAAAAGAAUAUUCACCCGAAAGUGUCGCGUAUAUAGGAGACAACAAAGCUGUGAGUGAUAACUUCGCAAACCUCAGUAACGGUUUUGACCAGUCGAAUUUACAAGCGCAGGGAGCAUUUAAGGAAACGCAAAGUGGCGAUAGAAAUACUAAUGAAGAUAAUUGUCAUUUUUGGUGAUGAUUGUAUUGUAGAUGUACACAGCCAAACAGACUUGGUGAACGAAGCGGAUAGUAGCGAUAUCCACGAUCAAAGUGUAGUUAUUAGUUACACUGACAACGCGGAUUGCCAAACCUCAAAUGUUGCGACUGUAGCAGGGUGUAACAUAACACAAAGUUGUUCGGGAGAAACAUCUGGUAGAUAUUUUAAAAUACUAUAAGGGUGAAACGAUUCAAUGGACUAUAUUAACAUAUGGAUGUUAAGCAUAGUUCAAACAAAACAGAUGCAAUAUAAAAUAAUGUAUUGAAUAGCAGUAGAUUUCCAAAUAAUAAUUCAAAUAAAAAUAAAUUAAAUUA
Molecule: long non-coding RNA, 1071 nt
Organism: Wyeomyia smithii (pitcher-plant mosquito)
Lineage: Eukaryota; Metazoa; Arthropoda; Insecta; Diptera; Culicidae
Exons: 4
Source: RefSeq, a predicted model, not a curated record